UGCAACGAAGCCUCUGAUUGGUCAAAGAUCCAAAUUGGACGCCUAGAAGUCCGCUAGCAACAUUAAUCCUUGGAAAACGGGAUAAAAACGAUCACAAAAGUCAUUCAAUGUUGGAUUUAUCGUCACGGACAUAUUGUGCAAAGUCUCCGAAAAGACACUGAAGUUCCAGGCCGCACUACAAAUCUCCUGAAAGGGCCACGAUCGCCACCGAAGCCGUUGCCUGGAACGGCGCAAGUGUUCACUUCCUGUCAAAACAAACCGAUCCAGUGUUAUCAGGACUUUUAUAACAUGACGCAUUUUCUGUUGCAUGCGACAGAUUUCGGGAUCAGAUGUGUGUAAUGUGCUGACAUGUUUUUUUUUUUUUUCUGAGUCUCGUCCUUACACAACGCAGACAACUUCCCCGGUAACACGUGGUCUUGUUCAGUUUUGAAUGACAACAGUUGACUCCUCCUUGAAGACGCGGUAAUGGACACUCAGGCUGGAGCGGUUCUCGCCGUGCAGAUUCCUUGACUCGGAUGCGAGGGGCCCUCUUGCAGAUGGAUCUUUGUUCGACCCGCAAGGUGCUGAUUAUUCUCCUCCCACAUCCAGAUGGACCGCUCUGACCUCUCACUCGGGGGGGUUAACAACAUCUAUAGAACUUCUGCAACUCCAUCAGAACUGAUGUGACAUGAACCCGGAUGAGGACGACAGCGAGGAUGAACGCGGCGGCGGCGACGACGGCGACGACGACGUCAUCCGCCCCGCAGGUUCAAGUUUAAAUCAGGGAGCAAGUAGUGUUUCUGUUUGU
Scophthalmus maximus (turbot) is the source of this 787-nucleotide long non-coding RNA. RefSeq lists it as uncharacterized. The transcript has 4 exons. NCBI's taxonomy places the organism in Eukaryota, Metazoa, Chordata, Actinopteri, Pleuronectiformes, Scophthalmidae. The record is from RefSeq and is a predicted model, not a curated record.